Molecule: long non-coding RNA, 8043 nt
Filed under: Homo sapiens (human)
Lineage: Eukaryota; Metazoa; Chordata; Mammalia; Primates; Hominidae
Description: HSALNT0379234
Rfam family: Maternally expressed 8 exon 2 (bases 133-254)
Source: RNAcentral
ACCAAUGAUGAGACAGUGUUUAUGAACAAAAGAUCAUGAUUAAUCCAGUUCUGCACAAAACACUGAGGUCCAUUAGAAGACAAUAGGUCUUGGCUGUUUCAUUCCUUUUAAGAGCUGUUUAAUAUUCCACGGAGCCCUGGGCUCCCCCAGUGUUGCCUGGGUCUGACUUUGCCUCAGUGAAAACUGCCUCGAAUUCUUUCUUGCACCGAUGGGCAGAUGGGCAGUGUCGGAGGAUCGUGUCAUCUGUCCCGUGGCGCUGGUUGGCUUGGUCAAGUCAGUGUUCAAACUAUCUCCUGCUCUUUCAAGGGGAUCUGGGGCUCUAGAAGAUUAGAGGACUUGGAGAGGUUAGUGACUUGCUCGAGGUCGGCUAGGAAGCAAGACCCAGGAUUCCAACUCAGGUCUGUGUGAUUCCUCUGCAAAAUGGAGAGGUGGAAGGAUGGAUGUCAGGUCUGAUGGAUGGAUGGAUGCCUACAUCAAGAUACAUGCAUAGAUGGAGAGAUGGCUGGCUACCUCAUGAAUGCUGGACUGUUGUGAGAAUCAAACGAGAUAAUGUAUGCUGAGGCAUGCUGUGAACACUACGUGCUGGGUACAGGAGAAUGGAGGCUCCAGAGUGAAAUUAAUGACACUUUGUCGAUGAAGAUCUUGAUUGUGACCUCUGUGGAAAAUGAGCCAUGAACCAACCAAUGAUAAGUCUACUUUUCUUCCACGUAACAACCACAGGAUAGAUGACAUUCAUUUUCUAAGAAACAAAAUCUUGGCAGUUAGAUCCGUGGGGUAAAGAAUAUAGAUACUAAUGUAAGUUAACACCUCAAGUUCAUGUCCUUGGUUUGGAUGCUUUGUUCAGGAGUGUUUAGUGGUAUUUCAAAGGAAUCAAUAUCUAUAACAAAUUAAAAUAACCAGGAAUGGACCAGUGAUGGAAAUGUGUUCCGAAAAUAUGUUUAAUAUAAUUUGGCACAACUGAAGUGAUAAAAAUAUAGUAGUUAGACCAUUUAUAUUCACAAUUAUUUAACAUUGUAUCUUAUUUUCUACCUCAAAUGAUUUAAUCUUUUCCAUAUUGGUAUGGUCCUGGCCGAUAACUCUUUGUGUGGCAGCCUGAGAGAAUAUGGAAGACACUGUCAGUGUUGGAAGAUGGUGGUUUUAUCACUUUUCAUUGCACUGUCUUUAAAACAUGGGCAAAUUGACUAAAAGAAGACUACAGAAGAAAUAAUGGUGAUUGUGAAUUUGGUAUGAAGCAUGGAUGUUAAUUAAUCACACAUGUUCUCUGAGGUCCAUUGUAAAAGGAGACCUAGUCUUCAGGGAGAGAGCCACUAAUGGGGAGAUCUUAUUCCUAGAAUUUUGUGGUUAUAUUAUUAUUCAUGAACCAAUGAAUAAUAAAUGAAUGAUAUAAAGGAAGAAAAACGUGCUUGGACCAAUGAUGAGUACCAUGGGGUAUCUGAAACAGGAUUUUUGAUUAAACCCAUAUGCAAUUCUGAGGUCCAUUACAAAGAGACACGUAUUAUUCCUUUUUUGGGAAGUGAGCCUAUGGUACCUUUUCCUUGGACUUUGUGGUUCUUGGGGAUGGAUUGCAUUUUUGUUAUAAAAUCAGCCCAUGAAUUAAAAAUUUAUCAAUGAGUAAAACAUAAAGCAUAAGUCAUGUACUUAUUAUCAGUGACUGUAAUGAAACAUGGAUUAUUAUUAAAACUUAUCUGAGACUCCCAAUAAAUUAAUACCCAAGGCUUCUACCAUUCUGGUAAGGAGCAUAUGGUCAUUUGUAUGCAAGAGUCAGUUUUUGUUCUGUGUUGGUGGUGGGUUGCUGACUAUUUUAUGAAGAAAAUGAAGCAUCUUUAAUCAUAUAAAUAGUUGGUUAAAUAACCACUUAAUUGAGACCAAGCAGAGACCAAUGAUGAGUGUAUUAAUCUAUUUUUUAAUGGAUUUUUAUUAAACAAAUAAUAAAAGAAACACAGUCUAUUCUUCCUGAGGGCAAUAACUCUAGACAGAUGUAAAUAUUCUUCAGUGUUCUUGUCCAGUGCUGUGAGAUCACAGAUACUGAUGUCUUUUGUAUAUGAGAAGGAACUUGCAUUUUUAUGUCUCAGUUUAUAUUUUAGAGUCAGCAAACCAUGGACCAAUUAGGAACAAAUGUUAUGAUAUGAGAAUGCUGAUUCUUGUUUUUUUUUUUCAUGAUAGACAUUCUAAGAAAAACUCUAGGCUCUCUCAUUGUUUUUGGAAUACAUACAUGGUUCUUUCCAAGUAGUUUCUUAGAAAAAUGUUUUUAAAAAGAGGCUUUUAAAAAGAGCCUUUUAAAAUGUUUUUAAAAGAAGGCUUUAUUUUUCUCUAUAGAAUGAAAACCAUGUAGCUGGUCUUAUUAUUCUCUAAUCAUGAAGACCAUUAUUGUUAUUUGUGGACUAAGGAGCAGAAAGACUGAUAGUGGACAUAGGCCAGCUGAUUUAAUAAUUUAAGAAAGAACUGUUAUCCUGAGUAAGGAGCAUAGAGACAAAUAUAAAAUGAACGCACUCUACCUGAUUUAAUUAUAGUCUUCUGGUGAAGAUCUUGCUGUUAUCUCUGUGAAUCAGGAGAGAAGAGAUUGAUGAAUAGACGAGAUUGGAUUUGGUCAUUUCCCCAAGGUGAAGAGCAUGGCGAUUUCUUCUGUGGUAAGGAGCAAUAAUGAAGACCAUGGUUGAUUUAAUCAGUCUCUGCUGAUGAAGAUCUUGGCUGUUACCUUUGUGUAAUGAAUGCGCAAUGAUUCAAUUAUUCUCCAGCGAGGAAGAUCAUGGUUGUUGUCUGUUUGAGUAAUGAGUGUAGAAACCUAUAAUGGAGGCGUGAUGGCUGAUGCAAUCAUUUUCCACUGAUGAAGGUUUUGAUGGCCACCUGUAAUGAACAGCCCCAUCUGAUUUAAUCACUGUGCAAUGACCGUGAACUGUACAGUUACCUCCGUGUGUCACAGGAAGACUCUUUUGACUUAAGCACCCUUCCAUGGUCAUGAGGUUUCUGGUUGCCUCUGUGUGUUAGAAGCUUGGAGACCAAUGCCUUCUGCUGUGAUCGCGUUCUCCACAGUUGCCUCUGGGUAGGAGCCUGGACACUAAUAGAAAAUGGAUGCACUGGAGCUGAUUUAAACAUUCUUUGGUGGUCACAAGAUGUAUAGCUGCCUCUGUAUGUUUGGCGCAUGGAAAAAAAUAUGAGUUUUUGUGGACAUACACUCUUUAUUUGAAAAGUAUGAAAUAUAAUCCAAGAAAGCCAGCCAUGGCUCAGUGAUAAAUAUGGAAUUGAUAUGAAACAUUAUAUUGAUUAAUCACCUUUGAGGAUGAUUAAUAAAAGAGAGAAAGUGAUUCUAUAUAGAGAUGCAGGACUAUUUCAGGCUCAUUCAUGAUCUAGGUUUUUGUGCUUCAUGGUUAUUUUAUUAUCAUCAAUAAAAAGAAAAAAGAAAAAAAUCUUAUACUGUCCAAAAAAUUAGGGAGACCAGCGCCCAGUGUUCAUGUGAGGGGGGACUAGUGUCCAUUUCCACCAAGCAGCCUGGAAAUGCUCAUCCUCACAGGGCAUUGGAGAGGUUUCUCAAGAAGCGAGUGCCUCCAUGGGGGAAAUAAUUAACCCCAGAUUAAAUGCUGCUUCAGACCUAAUGGAUGGUAAAAACAAGAUCCAAAAGGAUCAAACUCUUUCCAGGUAGAUUAACUGUAUCCCAGAACAAAGCUCAAGGACAUUUUUAGAAAUACGUAUAUAUCCAGCACACAAGCAGGGUAAAAUUCACAUCUGCAAAUUUACCAGGCAUUCAAAGGGGCAAAAAAUACACAACCCACAAUUAAGAGACUAAUGAAUUAAUCAAAACCAACCCAGAACUUAUACAGAUGUGAGCAUUAGCAGAAAAGGACUUGAAGUAGUUAUUAGAACUGUCUCCCUGGCCGGGUGUGGUGGCUCAUGCCUGUAAUCCCAGCACUUUGGGAGGCCGAGGUGGGUGGAUCACCUCAGGUCAGGAGUUCAAGACCAGUCUGGCCAAAAUGGUGAAACCCCACCUCUACUAAACAUGGACCAAUGAUGACCACUGGUGGCGUUUGAGUCAUGGACGAUGAAUACUACGUGUCUGAAACUCUGAGGUCCAACAGAAAACAUAAUUGGAUAGAUAUCAGAAAUGUGCAAAGAUCAUAUUCUUACUUUGGAUUAAUAGAUUGAGGUUCAUCAUCAAUAGAUAAAUGAUAGAACAAUUAAACAAGAAUAAAUAAAGGUGAAUCAUUGUUCAAUUAUGAAUAUACAUGAUGAUGUAAGAAAUAUUAUCACUAAAAAUUUUAAACACAGAUGCCCCUUAAAGAAAUGGAUCAUGAGUCCCGCCACUGCACUCCAGCCUGGGCGACAGAGCGAGACUCCGUCUCAAAAAAAAAAAAAAAAAAAAAAAAAAAAAAGAAAUGGAUCAUGAGUAUCAGCUCUUUGGCUAAGGUUCAUCUAGACUCUUAAUAAGUAAGAGUCAGUUUCAUUUUCUGGUUAAGUCUCAUUUGACAUUGUUCCUUUUGUUAUGAGAGAAAACAUUUCCAUUCUGAAAAAUUAAUCAAUAUAAAAAUAACUGAAUAACAGAAAUAUGGAAAGGAUCAAUGGAGAUAAGGUUUGAAUUUUUUCUAAAAGAGUUACCUGCUCUUUGUAUUCUGCAGAAUGGAUGCACUUGAGCCGACCUAAGCAUUCAUGGUCAUGAGAUUUGUGGUUGCCACUGUUGGUUAGGAGCAUAGAGAUCAGUAAUGGACACACCUGGGCUGGCAGAACAUCUUGCCUUGAUCUGGAGCCCCAUGUCUGCCCCUCUGUAGAGGUGCACAUGGGCCAAUGAUGGAUGCAAUGAGCUGAUCAUUUUGCUGUGAUCAAGGCUAUGUUGCCUCUGUGUUAGGCCAAUGGUUGAUGUUCAUGGGUGAUUGAUCAUCCUGUAGCGACGGUGGUAUUGACUGUUCCCCAGAGGACAAGGAGUGUGUUCUUAUAAUGGACAUCAUGAUUGGGAUUGUCUUUAUUAAACUUUGUCAGGAGAGUAAAGAUCAAUGUGGCCACAUGUUGUGGCUCAUGCCUGUAAUCCCAACACUGUAAUCCCAGCACUGUAAUCCCAGCCUGUAAUCCCAGGCUGAGGUGGGCGGAUCACCUGAGGUUGGGAGUUCGAGACCAGCCUGACCAACAUGGAGAAACCCCGUCUCUACUAAAAAUACAAAAUUAGCCGGGCAUGGUGGCGCAUGUCUUUAAUUCCAGCUACUCAGGAGGCUGAGGCAGGAGAAACGCUUGAACCCGAGAGGCGGAGGUUGCAGUGAGCUGAGAUUGCGCCAUUGCACUCCAGCCUGGGCAACAAGAGUGAAACUCCAUCUCAAAAGAAAAAAAAAAGAAAACAAAACAAAAAAAGAAAAAACCAAUGUUCCAAUAGUUUCCCAAAUCAUGCUGAUGCUGCCUCCUGAGAAAUAUUUUCAGAAUCACUGAGAAAAAUGUAUGAAAUAGUUAAUGUCCUUGCUCUGUGUCAGUGGUGGAGGCUGUCUGCAGUAGGAGCAUGGAGACCAACAAUGGAUGCUCUUAAACUGAUUUAAGCACGCUUCCAUGGUCAGAAGCCUUAUGGUUGCCACAGGGUAUUAGGAGCAUGGAGACCAAUAAUGGAUGUCCUUGUUCUGAUUUGAGGAUGCCUCCAAGGUCACAUACUCUGUUUGCACCACGCUUAGGAAGGAGCGUGAAGACCAAGGGGAGUAAUAGUCAAAGUCCUUACCUUUGUUUGGGUGGUUUGUUUAAGAGUAAUCAACGUAUUAUUUAAAAGUGUGAAAUACAGUCAAAGAUGGCCAAUGUUAUUCCAGUGAUAUGGGAGUGACAUGAAGUAUUAUAUUGAUGAUGCAUAUAUAAAAAACAGGAUAGUUAAUGAAACACCCAAUGUUUGAGUGAUUCUGUAUACUGAUAGGGAAUAUCAAGAGUGUUACUGGGUUUUGUGAAUCACGGGCCUUGAAAGUAUUAUUAAUGAAUAAAUGACAUAAUCAAUAGACAAGGUAGAAAUGAAUAGCAAAAAAAAAGAAGAUCAAUGAUGACUACUGUUAGUGUAUGAGUUACACAUGAUGAAUACAUGUCUGAAACUCUGAGGUCCAUCACAAAAGAAAUCUGGCCCAUUCCUUCUGAUUCAGGUGAUCCUAUGAAUAUACAAUGUGUUUGCUUUUGGUCUUUGGGUUUGUUCACUUCACUGUAUUAUUAUAAUUGGAUCAAUGAAAUAAUUUAUACGUAUACAUGUACGUAUAUGAAGGGGAUGAAGUAUUGUCCAAUUAUAAAAUAAGUGGUGAGGCAAGAUGUAUUAUUAUUAUUAUAUUAAAGCAUUAUAUUAAAGCUUUAAUAUAUUAAAUAAAAAUCUAAUAUUAAUAUAUAAUUAAUGCAAUAUUUAAUAUAUAUUAAAUAUGAUAACAUAUUAAAAUAUUAUAUUAAAGCAUUGAAGUCCUAAGGGAAAUAAAUGGUACCCCACUGUAACGUCUUUGACUAAGGAUGAUACAGGUGGUAGUUAUAGAUAAUGGUCAACCUCUGGGUCAAGGAAAGUUGCACAAAGUGUUCAUUUUCUUAAGAGAAAAUGAAAUAAUUAUCCUUCAGAUAGUGAUUUCUCAAAUGUUUUCCUAAAGGGAAGAUGAUAAACACAGAUCAUGGAGGACUGUUUUAUCUGUUUGUGAUCUGCCGUCCUCUGUGAGCCUCAGGAUGGAUGUUUGCCAGCCGAUUCCAUGGUUACAAGCUCUAUAGCUGCAUCUAUGUGUUAGGAGCAUGAAGACCAAUAAUGGAUGCACUGAGCUGAUUAUGAAUUUAGCCCUGAUGAAGACUUGUGUUGCUGUCAUGAUAUGAAAGAUUCCAGUAAUGAACGCACUUGAGUUGAUUCAAGCACGCUUCCAUGGUCAUGAGCUCUGUGGUUGCAUCUGUGUGUUAGGAGCAUGCAGACCAAUAGUGAUAAUCUCGAGGUGAUUUAUGCAUUCUUCCAUGGCCACCAGCCUUAUGAUUGCAUCUGUGCGUCACAGCUUAGAGAUCAAUAAUGGAUGCAACAAGCUCUUUGAAUCAUUCUGUUGGGAUCAAGAUUGUUGUGUUCCCUCUGUUUGGAAAGAGACCAAGAAUGGAUACGCUCAGGUGAUUUAAGCAGUCUUCCAUGGCCACGAGCUCUGUGGUUGCCUCUGUAUAUUAAGAGCACAGAGAUUAAAAAUGGGUGCACUUGAGCCGAUUGAAACAUUCCUCCUUGCAUCUUUCUUCUGUGAUUGCAUCUAUUUGUUAGUAGCAUAGAGACCAAUAAUAGAUGGCUUGUGCUGAUGGAAGGAUUCCUCCCUGGUGACAUGCUGUGUCUGCCUCUUGAUUGGGAGCACGCAGACCUACAAUGAUGCACUUUUUAUGAUUUGAGAAUUCCUUCAUGGUCACGUGCUCUGUUUUUAUCAUGGUUGGGAGCCUGCAGAGCAAUAAGGGACAUGCCUUUGCUGAUUUGAGGAUUCCUCUGAGGUUGGGAGCUAAGUUUGCAUCAUGCUUAGAAAGGAGUGUGCAGACCUGUAAUGAUUGCACUUUGCUGAUUGAAGGAUUCCUUCAAGUCCAUGUGCUCCACUUGCACCAUUUUUAGGAUGGAGCCUGGAGACCUAUAAUGAACAACUUGUGCUGUGUUAAGGAUUCCUCCAUGAUCACGCGCCCCAUUUGUACACCAUGCUUGGGAAGGUGCAUGCAGACCAAUGUUAGUAAUAGUCAAAAUUCCUGUGUCGGUUUGUGUGGUUUGCUAAACAGGACUCAAUGUAUCAUGAAACAGUGUAUUAUAUAGUCAACUAUGGUCAACUAUGUCCCAGUGAUAUUUAUGAGAGGGAUCUGAAGUAUUUAUUGAUAAUGCAUAUAUGAAAAACGGAGAAGAAUUAAUGAAACAGAUAUAUCUGUGUUAGAAUGAUUCUGUAUAAAGAUAGGGAAUAUCAAGUCUGUUCUUAGUGUUUUGUGAAUCACAGAGUGUAAAAUUAUUCCCAGUGAAUUAAUGAAUAAAUUUAAAGACAACAUAGAAAUGAAUGCAGAAAAAGAGGGUCAACCCUGGAUCGAUGAUGAGCACUGGUGGAGUAUGAGUCACAUACGAUGAAUACGUGUCUGGAACUCUGAGGU